GCGGAGGUGGCGGAAUUGGUAGACGCGCUAGCUUCAGGUGCUAGUGUCCGAAAGGACGUGAGGGUUCAAGUCCCUCUCUCCGCACCA
RNAcentral lists this transfer RNA (87 nucleotides) under Salinivibrio costicola. RNAcentral describes it as "tRNA-Leu". It matches the Rfam family "tRNA". Rfam says of the family: Transfer RNA (tRNA) molecules are approximately 80 nucleotides in length. Their secondary structure includes four short double-helical elements and three loops (D, anti-codon, and T loops). RNAcentral also lists the same sequence under 27 other names. The record is from RNAcentral. Lineage: Bacteria; Pseudomonadati; Pseudomonadota; Gammaproteobacteria; Vibrionales; Vibrionaceae.